This 610-nucleotide long non-coding RNA is filed under the name Vulpes vulpes (red fox). Its description in RNAcentral is "lncRNA (ENSVVUG00000018484.1)". The record is from RNAcentral. Lineage: Eukaryota; Metazoa; Chordata; Mammalia; Carnivora; Canidae.
CCUUGGAAAGAUGAGGAGGGAUUUUUAAUAUGUUCAGAAAUAUUUAUCAGUGCAGAAACUGAAUGUUUAGAAGCCACUGCAAUGAAGAUUAAAUUGGAGCAUUCAGGUUAAUGGAUGGCUAACAUUGUACUGAAGUCUUUAAUACAGGACAGGGAUCAUUUUCGGUACUUUACGAAGACUUUAUUUUAUUUUGAUAAUUCUGUAAGUAUUCUAUCAGGGUCCAGGGAGAAAACACUUAGGAUGCUUACUUAGGGCAAUCUGAGGAGAGAUCAAUCAAGGGACUGAUUCAAAUGUGUGCUUUAGAAACAGGGACGCCAAAAGAUGCACGCGGUAUCCCUGGGGUAGAACAAAAGGGGCUCUGUUGCUACCAGUAGCACUGAAAGGGCAGAGAGAGGAAGUGGUAAUUAUACCAGCACAUAGAGAGGGGAGGGUGCAGGAGGCCAUGUUAUGGGAGCUGAGAUCACAAUGGAGCCAUGCCAAUGCCUUGACCUUGCAAGAGAACCAGAGCCAGUGGAAGGAACACUAUAUCAGCGAGAUGCCAGAAAAACAAAAGGAAACAAAAAACAAUUUAGCUACUACUGUAUCUUGUUGGAGUAGACAGCAACCUUGA